RNAcentral lists this non-coding RNA (437 nucleotides) under Caenorhabditis elegans. The record is from RNAcentral. Lineage: Eukaryota; Metazoa; Nematoda; Chromadorea; Rhabditida; Rhabditidae.
AGACGAUGGAUGAACACAGCGAUAUUGGAAAUUCGCUUCAGUUUUCAAGGACUUCUUUGAAAAACGAAAAUUGAGCGAUUAGUGCCAAGAAGCGUCGGAUGCCAGCUCCGAAUCGACAAAAAUCCACGGAAUUUCAACAAAGUUCAAUCGACUCUUAUUUAAACAUCAAUCAGAAGACUACGUCCUGGACUCCAAAUCGAUGAGUCGAUGUACAUUUGGGACGGAGCAGACCAAAUGGACGACCACUACAAUUCGAGAAGUUUUCGAAAGAAAGACGUGGAUACUCCGAAAAGGAUCCAAGAUUAGCCAAUCGGAAACGCCACGGAAAUCCAUCUACAGAACAAACAAAUGCGACAGCGGAUCGAGGGAAAAUCCCGAAAAAAUCUAAUUUUUUUGCAUUUUUUGAAAUUUUUCUUAAAUAAAUUUUAUUUAAAUAA